RNAcentral lists this ribosomal RNA (778 nucleotides) under Citrobacter freundii. RNAcentral's name for it is "bacterial SSU rRNA". It matches the Rfam family "Bacterial small subunit ribosomal RNA", at positions 1 to 764 of the family's 1533-position model. The record is from RNAcentral. Lineage: Bacteria; Pseudomonadati; Pseudomonadota; Gammaproteobacteria; Enterobacterales; Enterobacteriaceae.
UUUAGAGUUUAGAGUUUGGGAUCUGGCUCAGAUUGAACGCUGGCGGCAGGCCUAACACAUGCAAGUCGAACGGUAGCACAGAGGAGCUUGCUCCUUGGGUGACGAGUGGCGGACGGGUGAGUAAUGUCUGGGAAACUGCCCGAUGGAGGGGGAUAACUACUGGAAACGGUAGCUAAUACCGCAUAACGUCGCAAGACCAAAGAGGGGGACCUUCGGGCCUCUUGCCAUCGGAUGUGCCCAGAUGGGAUUAGCUAGUAGGUGGGGUAACGGCUCACCUAGGCGACGAUCCCUAGCUGGUCUGAGAGGAUGACCAGCCACACUGGAACUGAGACACGGUCCAGACUCCUACGGGAGGCAGCAGUGGGGAAUAUUGCACAAUGGGCGCAAGCCUGAUGCAGCCAUGCCGCGUGUAUGAAGAAGGCCUUCGGGUUGUAAAGUACUUUCAGCGAGGAGGAAGGCGUUGUGGUUAAUAACCGCAGCGAUUGACGUUACUCGCAGAAGAAGCACCGGCUAACUCCGUGCCAGCAGCCGCGGUAAUACGGAGGGUGCAAGCGUUAAUCGGAAUUACUGGGCGUAAAGCGCACGCAGGCGGUCUGUCAAGUCGGAUGUGAAAUCCCCGGGCUCAACCUGGGAACUGCAUCCGAAACUGGCAGGCUAGAGUCUUGUAGAGGGGGGUAGAAUUCCAGGUGUAGCGGUGAAAUGCGUAGAGAUCUGGAGGAAUACCGGUGGCGAAGGCGGCCCCCUGGACAAAGACUGACGCUCAGGUGCGAAAGCGUGG